GGCUCAGGAUGAACGCUAGCGGCAGGCUUAAUACAUGCAAGUCGUGGGGCAGCAUGAGUAGCAAUACUUGAUGGCGACCGGCAAACGGGUGAAGGAACACGUACACAACCUUCCUUCAAGCGGGGAAUAGCCCAGAGAAAUUUGGAUUAAUACCCCAUAAUAUAUUUGAUAAGGCAUCUUAUUAAUAUUAAAGCUUCGGCACUUGAUGAUGGGUGUGCGGCUGAUUAGAUAGUUGGCGGGGUAACGGCCCACCAAGUCUACGAUCAGUAGCUGAUGUGAGAGCAUGAUCAGCCACACGGGCACUGAGACACGGGCCCGACUCCUACGGGAGGCAGCAGUAAGGAAUAUUGGACAAUGGACGAAAGUCUGAUCCAGCCAUGCCCGCGUGAAGGAUUAAGGUCCUCUGGAUUGUAAACUUCUUUUAUAUGGGACGAAAAAAGGGCAUUCUUGUUCACUUGACGGUACCAUAUGAAUAAGCACCGGCUAACUCCGUG
This 494-nucleotide ribosomal RNA is filed under the name uncultured bacterium. RNAcentral's name for it is "bacterial SSU rRNA". It matches the Rfam family "Bacterial small subunit ribosomal RNA", at positions 21 to 507 of the family's 1533-position model. The record is from RNAcentral.